RNAcentral lists this ribosomal RNA (451 nucleotides) under uncultured bacterium. Its description in RNAcentral is "bacterial SSU rRNA". It matches the Rfam family "Bacterial small subunit ribosomal RNA", at positions 354 to 796 of the family's 1533-position model. The record is from RNAcentral.
GUGGGGAAUAUUGGACAAUGGGGGGAACCCUGAUCCAGCCAUGCCGCGUGUGUGAAGAAGGCCUUUUGGUUGUAAAGCACUUUAAGCGAGGAGGAGGCUACCGAGAUUAAUACUCUUGGAUAGUGGACGUUACUCGCAGAAUAAGCACCGGCUAACUCUGUGCCAGCAGCCGCGGUAAUACAGAGGGUGCAAGAGUUAAUCGGAUUUACUGGGCGUAAAGCGCGCGUAGGUGGCCAAUUAAGUCAAAUGUGAAAUCCCCGAGCUUAACUUGGGAAUUGCAUUCGAUACUGGUUGGCUAGAGUAUGGGAGAGGAUGGUAGAAUUCCAGGUGUAGCGGUGAAAUGCGUAGAGAUCUGGAGGAAUACCGAUGGCGAAGGCAGCCAUCUGGCCUAAUACUGACACUGAGGUGCGAAAGCAUGGGGAGCAAACAGGAUUAGAAACCCUAGUAGUCC